This 430-nucleotide ribosomal RNA is filed under the name uncultured Levilinea sp. RNAcentral's name for it is "bacterial SSU rRNA". It matches the Rfam family "Bacterial small subunit ribosomal RNA", at positions 936 to 1382 of the family's 1533-position model. Lineage: Bacteria; Bacillati; Chloroflexota; Anaerolineae; Anaerolineales; Anaerolineaceae. The record is from RNAcentral.
AGCGUUGUGGUUUAAUUCGAUGAUACACGAAGAACUUACCAGGGUUUGACAUGCUAGUGUAGGGAUCCGAAAGGUGACCGACCCUCGGGGAGCUAGCACAGGUGCUGCAUGGCUGUCGUCAGCUCGUGUCGUGAGAUGUUCGGUUAAGUCCGCUAACGAGCGCAACCCUUGCUGUGUGUUACAUGUGUCACACGGGACUGCCGGUCUUAAACGGAGGAAGGUGGGGAUGACGUCAAGUCAGCAUGGCCUUUAUGUCCUGGGCUACACACACGCUACAAUGGCCGGUACAAUAGGUUGCGAAGCCGCGAGGCGGAGCCAAUCCUCAAAGCCGGCCUCAGUUCAGAUUGCAGGCUGCAACCCGCCUGCAUGAAGAUGGAGUUGCUAGUAACCGCAGGUCAGCUAUACUGCGGUGAAUACGUUCCCGGGGCUU